RNAcentral lists this ribosomal RNA (124 nucleotides) under Syntrophobacteraceae bacterium. RNAcentral describes it as "partial 23S ribosomal RNA". It matches the Rfam family "Bacterial large subunit ribosomal RNA", at positions 2807 to 2925 of the family's 2925-position model. The record is from RNAcentral. Lineage: Bacteria; Pseudomonadati; Thermodesulfobacteriota; Syntrophobacteria; Syntrophobacterales; Syntrophobacteraceae.
AGAAUUCCCUCUUGCGUAAGCAAGACUGAAGGCCCCUCGUAGACAACGAGGUUGAUAGGCCGGGUGUGAAAGGGCAGUAAUGUCUUGAGCUAACCGGUACUAAUAGGCCGUGCGGCUUGACCAA